RNAcentral lists this long non-coding RNA (1071 nucleotides) under Oncorhynchus mykiss (rainbow trout). Its description in RNAcentral is "lncRNA (ENSOMYG00000072522.1)". Lineage: Eukaryota; Metazoa; Chordata; Actinopteri; Salmoniformes; Salmonidae. The record is from RNAcentral.
GACGUAUGUAUUGGUAAGACGUUUGUAUGGACAGGAGUCUGUAUUGGUAAGACGUAUGUAUUGGUAAGACGUUUGUAUGGACAGGCUUCUGUAUUGGUAAUACGUCUGUAUGGACAGGCUUCUGUAUUGGUAAUACGUCUGUAUGGACAGGCUUCUGUAUUGGUAAGACGUUUGUAUAGACAGGCGUCUGUAUUGGUAAGACGUUUGUAUGGACAGGCGUCUGUAUUGGUAAGACGUUUGUAUGGACAGGCGUUUGUAUUGGUAAGACGUUUGUAUGGACAGGCGUCUGUAUUGGUAAUACGUCUGCCAAUACAAACGCCUGUCCAUACAGACGUAUUACCAAUACAGACGCCUGUCCAUACAAACGUCUUACCAAUACAUACGUCUUACCAAUACAAACGCCUGUCCAUACAGACGUAUUACCAAUACAGACGCCUGUCCAUACAAACGUCUUACCAAUACAUACGUCUUACCAAUACAGACGCCUGUCCGAUACAGACUCCUGUCCAUACAAACGUCUUACCAAUACAUACGUCUUACCAAUACAGACGCCUGUCCAUACAGACGUAUUACCAAUACAGACGCCUGUCCAUACAGACGUAUUACCAAUACAAACGCCUGUCCAUACAAACGUCUUACCAAUACAAACGCCUGUCCAUACAAACGUCUUACCAAUACAAACGCCUGUCCAUACAGACGUCUUGCCAAUACAAACGCCUGUCCAUACAAACGUCUUACCAAUACAAACGCCUGUCCAUACAGACGUAUUACCAAUACAGACGCCUGUCCAUACAGACGUCUGUAUGGACAGGCGUUUGUAUUGGCAAGACGUCUGUAUGGACAGGCGUUUGUAUUGGUAAGACGUUUGUAUGGACAGGCGUUUGUAUUGGCAAGACGUCUGUAUGGACAGGCGUUUGUAUUGGUAAGACGUUUGUAUGGACAGGCGUUUGUAUUGGUAAGACGUUUGUAUGGACAGGCGUUUGUAUUGGUAAUACGUCUGUAUGGACAGGCGUCUGUAUUGGUAAGACGUUUGUAUGGACAGGCGUUUGUAUUGGUAAGACGUUUGUAUAG